GACGAACGCUGGCGGCGUGCCUAAUACAUGCAAGUCGAGCGGACUCAUCCCUUCGGGGAUGGGUUAGCGGCGGACGGGUGAGUAACACGUAGGUAACCUGCCUGUAAGAUCGGGAUAACUAUCGGAAACGAUAGCUAAGACCGAAUAAUUGAUUCUGGUGCAUGCCGGGAUUAUGAAACACGGUUCCGAAUUUAUUCGAGGGCUGUGGCUUACGGAUGGGCCUGCGGCGCAUUAGCUAGUUGGUGAGGUAAUGGCUCACCAAGGCGACGAUGCGUAGCCGACCUGAGAGGGUGAACGGCCACACUGGGACUGAGACACGGCCCAGACUCCUACGGGAGGCAGCAGUAGGGAAUCUUCCGCAAUGGACGCAAGUCUGACGGAGCAACGCCGCGUGAGUGAUGAAGGUUUUCGGAUCGUAAGCUCUGUUGCCCUAGACGAACAGCGAAGGGGAUUAACUGUCCCUUUGUGUGACGGUAGUAGGAGAAGAACGCCC
This 493-nucleotide ribosomal RNA is filed under the name uncultured bacterium. RNAcentral's name for it is "partial 16S ribosomal RNA". It matches the Rfam family "Bacterial small subunit ribosomal RNA", at positions 28 to 494 of the family's 1533-position model. The record is from RNAcentral.